Molecule: long non-coding RNA, 498 nt
Organism: Triplophysa dalaica
Lineage: Eukaryota; Metazoa; Chordata; Actinopteri; Cypriniformes; Nemacheilidae
Exons: 3
Source: RefSeq, a predicted model, not a curated record
UGUUUAAUGUGAUUUAUGUAAUUAUAUAUCGCUUAUGUGAUAUAAUGAAAAGUUAUUUCGUGUCUAUUCAUCUAUAAUUAAACUGGUUGAUAUGGGAUUUAUAACGUAGGACAUUUCGUAGAGCGGUUUAUGUAAUUGUAAUGAUAAAAUAGUUCAACAUUCAAUAACUACGAGUUUAAAAGGGAGUGUAUUUCAAACAACAAACAACUUAAGCAUGUUAUUAAUAUAAUACUGUUUAUAAAGAUUGACUUUGCAUUGUAUUUUGUAGUGAGUCGAAUGAUGAGACGUGGCAGAGGAUUAAAUCCUCUCAAAGAUGCCAUACACCAUGUGAAAAUGGGGAAAGACAAAAACAUAAUAUCAGAGCGAUACAUUAAUCCCGCCAAAGGACAUCGAUGCAGGUGAAGAAAUAUUAUACGAUUAUGGAGGACAUAACUUGCCAUGGCGUUCUCGCCAUGGACAGGAACAUUACAAGAACCUUCAUGAGCCCGUUGCUCCAAC